RNAcentral lists this ribosomal RNA (253 nucleotides) under uncultured bacterium. Its description in RNAcentral is "partial 16S ribosomal RNA". It matches the Rfam family "Bacterial small subunit ribosomal RNA", at positions 524 to 776 of the family's 1533-position model. The record is from RNAcentral.
UACGUAGGGUGCAAGCGUUAAUCGGAAUUACUGGGCGUAAAGCGUGCGCAGGCGGUGAUGUAAGACAGUUGUGAAAUCCCCGGGCUCAACCUGGGAACUGCAUCUGUGACUGCAUCGCUGGAGUGCGGCAGAGGGGGAUGGAAUUCCGCGUGUAGCAGUGAAAUGCGUAGAGAUCGGCAGGAACACCCAGGGGGAAACCAGUCGACUGGGCAUCUACUGACGCUGAGGUGCGAGAGCGUGGUGAGCGAACCGG